Capsicum annuum is the source of this 915-nucleotide long non-coding RNA. RefSeq lists it as uncharacterized. The transcript is spliced from 2 exons. NCBI's taxonomy places the organism in Eukaryota, Viridiplantae, Streptophyta, Magnoliopsida, Solanales, Solanaceae. The record is from RefSeq and is a predicted model, not a curated record.
CCUAUCCAAGCUUGAUAAAGGGCAGACGGACCUGGAUUUGCCAACAUCGAAAGCAAUCAUACUUGGUUUGGAAAUCUCUGCGCUUGCUAUGUUAUAUCAAUAUCAGUUGUCGAUUCACUGAUAUUAGCAACUUUCAGAUCAUGUAGUUAUUAUCCUUCAAGGUUGAAUCAGAUAGAUUCAUAUCUGAAAGAGAUUGACAAUAAUUUCUUUCAAAAUUGACUAUUUGCCCCUCUGUUAGAGGUGUUCCAGAAAUGUUUGUGAUCGAGUAAAUAGCUCUACGAACGAAUAGAUCGGAUCAACGGGUCGAGUUUGACCAUCAUAGCCACGAAUGCCUCCUCUCAUGAUCAUGAUGAACAACUUAAAUGCCGGUCAAUGUUGAUCAUCGUGAUCACAUGGUUGGGAUCGUGAUCUCGAGAGUUACCUGAUACUAUUGCUGGUGAGCGGUAGGAGGUAGAAGAUAUCUUGUCGAAUGAGUCAAGGAGCACAAAAUCUGGUUAUCUGGUUAGCAUCCAGCCUAUUAUAUUUGCAAAGCAAUCACCUGCUCAUAUGGCGCCACCCUUGUGCUUCAAAACAGAAAUUACAGUAAUUUUUUUGGACAAGAACUGCAAUAUAGAAACUAUUCAAGAUUGUUUGCUGGUAUAGGUGACUAUUCAAUUCUAUCAAAGAAGAUAGCCACUGUGAUGCCACAAGUAGGGUCUGAAGAGGGCGAGGUGUAUGCAUAUCUUACCCCUACUCUUCUGUGUGGCAGAGAAGUUGUUUCCGAUAAAUAUUCUAUCAGGUAACACUGAACAUGAUUAAAGUGGCAUCAGUCUGUAAGAAUGAUAUUUCAUUCAAUUUCGGAUGUUUGUUCUCGUUAUAUGUUACAUAUUAUAGUGUACAGAUUGUUAUCCGAUAAUGAAAUUAUGCUUUAGUAUA